AGCCUGAUCCAGCCAUGCCGCGUGCAGGAUGAAGGCCUUCGGGUUGUAAACUGCUUUUGUACGGAACGAAAAGACUCCUUCUAAUAAAGGGGGUCCAUGACGGUACCGUAAGAAUAAGCACCGGCUAACUACGUGCCAGCAGCCGCGGUAAUACGUAGGGUGCAAGCGUUAAUCGGAAUUACUGGGCGUAAAGCGUGCGCAGGCGGUUAUAUAAGACAGAUGUGAAAUCCCCGGGCUCAACCUGGGAACUGCAUUUGUGACUGUAUAGCUAGAGUACGGUAGAGGGGGAUGGAAUUCCGCGUGUAGCAGUGAAAUGCGUAGAUAUGCGGAGGAACACCGAUGGCGAAGGCAAUCCCCUGGACCUGUACUGACGCUCAUGCACGAAAGCGUGGGGAGCAAACAGGAUUAGAUACCCUGGUAGUCCACGCCCUAAACGAUGUCAACUGGUUGUUGGGUCUUCACUGACUCAGUAACGAAGCUAACGCGUGAAGUUGACCGCCUGGGGAGUACGGCCGCAAGGUUGAAACUCAAAGAAAUUUGACGGA
This 545-nucleotide ribosomal RNA is filed under the name Acidovorax sp. OS3. RNAcentral's name for it is "bacterial SSU rRNA". It matches the Rfam family "Bacterial small subunit ribosomal RNA", at positions 380 to 917 of the family's 1533-position model. Lineage: Bacteria; Pseudomonadati; Pseudomonadota; Betaproteobacteria; Burkholderiales; Comamonadaceae. The record is from RNAcentral.